CAGUCGCCACGGUAAUACAGAGGGUGUGAGCGUUAAUCGGAUUUACUGGGCGUAAAGCGUGCGUAGGCGGCUUUUUAAGUCGGAUGUGAAAUCCCUGAGCUUAACUUAGGAAUUGCAUUCGAUACUGGGAAGCUAGAGUAUGGGAGAGGAUGGUAGAAUUCCAGGUGUAGCGGUGAAAUGCGUAGAGAUCUGGAGGAAUACCGAUGGCGAAGGCAGCCAUCUGGCCUAAUACUGACGCUGAGGUACGAAAGCAUGGGGAGCAAACAGGAUUAGAUACCCCUGUAGUCCCUGUCUCUUAUAC
RNAcentral lists this ribosomal RNA (301 nucleotides) under uncultured bacterium. RNAcentral's name for it is "partial 16S ribosomal RNA". It matches the Rfam family "Bacterial small subunit ribosomal RNA", at positions 509 to 807 of the family's 1533-position model. The record is from RNAcentral.